RNAcentral lists this ribosomal RNA (523 nucleotides) under uncultured bacterium. Its description in RNAcentral is "partial 16S ribosomal RNA". It matches the Rfam family "Bacterial small subunit ribosomal RNA", at positions 355 to 871 of the family's 1533-position model. The record is from RNAcentral.
UGGGGAAUUUUGGACAAUGGGCGAAAGCCUGAUCCAGCAAUGCCGCGUGUGUGAAGAAGGCCUUCGGGUUGUAAAGCACUUUUGUCCGGAAAGAAAUCCUUGGCUCUAAUACAGUCGGGGGAUGACGGUACCGGAAGAAUAAGCACCGGCUAACUACGUGCCAGCAGCCGCGGUAAUACGUAGGGUGCAAGCGUUAAUCGGAAUUACUGGGCGUAAAGCGUGCGCAGGCGGUUUGCUAAGACCGAUGUGAAAUCCCCGGGCUCAGCCUGGGAACUGCAUUGGUGACUGGCAGGCUAGAGUAUGGCAGAGGGGGGUAGAAUUCCACGUGUAGCAGUGAAAUGCGUAGAGAUGUGGAGGAAUACCGAUGGCGAAGGCAGCCCCCUGGGCCAAUACUGACGCUCAUGCACGAAAGCGUGGGGAGCAAACAGGAUUAGAUACCCUGGUAGUCCACGCCCUAAACGAUGUCAACUAGUUGUUGGGGAUUCAUUUCCUUAGUAACGUAGCUAACGCGUGAAGUUGACCG